Long non-coding RNA from Gigantopelta aegis, 1508 nucleotides. RefSeq lists it as uncharacterized. The transcript has 4 exons. Lineage: Eukaryota; Metazoa; Mollusca; Gastropoda; Neomphalida; Peltospiridae. The record is from RefSeq and is a predicted model, not a curated record.
CUGGAUUUCGGAACAAAUUGACUUCUGUGUAACAUAGGCUAUACAGAUUGUGCAGCAUGCAGACAACGAUCACGUUUAUUUAUAAAUAACACAAGAUUACUGCCAAUAAAUAGAAAACGAAUGAGGAUCGUGGCGGACACACGAAUUGUUAAAUUGACGCAGCUCGACGUUGAUUUACCAACAUCCGGAGGAAUUGCAAGAAGACAAGGAAUUGCUUGAAACUGAAGCUCAGUAUCUCAGAAGAAAGAUUAAUGAAAUGAAAAAAGCAAGCUUAAAAUCAAUAUGGAACUGAAAGCUUCUAAAACUGUGAGUUGCCUACUCUUAGUUUAUGCAAACGUGUGCUUAACAUCACCAUCGUCAUCAUUGUUGUAUUCAGUUCCCUAUAAGUGUCCUAAAACUAUUUUUGAAUGGUACUUAUUUUAUAGUUUUUGUACUUAUCAUUACCAGGAGGAAUUGCAAGAAGGCAAGGAAUUGCUUGAAACUGAAGCUCAGUAUCUCAGAAGAAAGAUUAAUGAAAUGAAAAAAGCAAGCUUAAAAUCAAUAUGGAACUGAAAGCUUCUAAAACUGAGGAAUUGCAAGAAGGCAAGGAAUUGCUUGAAACUGAAGGUCAGUAUCUCAAAAGAAAGAUCAAUGAAAUGAAAAAGCAAGUUGGAAAAUCGGUAUGGAUUUGAAAGCUUCUAAAACUAGCCUGCUGAAUACAAAGAUUGCGUCCCAAAAUAACACUGAGACGAUUGCGGCCGAAGAUCACACUGAAACGAUUGCGGCCCAAGAUUACACUGAGACAAUGGUUACAAAGAAAAUGAUAAGAUGGAACUAAAAUCGAAACAGACAAAUCGUGUUGGAGUGGUAGUAAAUUCUAACGAUUAUGCUUCAUAAAUGUAUUCAUGUCACAUAAAAAUGAAUAAUUAUCUGUUAUUCUGAUAUACAAAUUAAUAAAUACAUGUGGAAACGAGCAGUGUUUAAUAAUUAUAAUAUAUGCACCUUUGAUUUGAUAGAACCAUUUUAAUACUUUGACGUUAUAGUGUUAAUGUUAGCUAGCAUAGAUUCAUUCAUUCAUUCAAUAUUAUAUUCCCAUCUCACCUUUUUAAAAAUUACAUACAUGUUCUAUAAAAAUAUAAAAUAAUAUACAUAAUAUUUUAAAAAACACUCAAUACAGAGUUAUGAGAGGCGAUAAUAUUAUACAAAUAAAUAAACAUUAAAAUGCAAGAUAAAAAAUGAAAUAUAAUAGUUAUAACUUUUCAAAUAAAUAACUUUUUCUUUUAAAAUCUGUGCACAGGUUUUGGCACAAGAUCGCAUAAUAAAAUUGUUGGAAAUAAAAAUAUCAUUUUAUCAUGACAACUAAAAUUACUAAAAUUAUCAUUAAUUACCGCAGCGUUGUUAAAUAAAAAAUUUCAUAUACAUUUAGAGUUCAUACAUAUAGUGUCUUUAGUACAUAUAAUUAUGUAUUAUAGUGAUUUUGUAUUUUCCAGGAAACGGGGGGGGGGGGGGGGGGGCACAAGCCACAGUUU